AUGAAUGAGUUAACUAAGUAUCAGAUCGACCAAAUUGAACAAAUGAUAGCUCAAGAUCAUGUUGUUCAUUGGGAAUUGAAGAGGGGAGAACGAGCAGACAUCGAACGAUUAAUUUCUAUUUCUCGUUAUCGUGGAAUUCGUCAUCAAGAUGGAUCGCCCUUACGCGGUCAACGAACUCAUACUAAUGCAAGGACUGCUCGCAAGCAAAUUCGGAAAUGA
This 219-nucleotide ribosomal RNA is filed under the name Triticum aestivum (bread wheat). RNAcentral's name for it is "partial small subunit ribosomal RNA". The record is from RNAcentral. Lineage: Eukaryota; Viridiplantae; Streptophyta; Magnoliopsida; Poales; Poaceae.